AUGUCUAUGACUUUAAUUACAGGAGCAGAGGGGUCGGAAAGGGAAAACAGUGGCAGCUGCGGUGUAGUAGGUGCUGAGAUAACGACCUUAGCGCUGGAUAACGGAGCUUACAACACCAAAAUUGGUUACAGCCAUGAAAAUGUGUCGGUCAUUCCUAAUUGUCAGAUCCGGUCAAAAUCAGUACGCCUUAACACUUUUACUGCGAACCAGACAGAUGAAAUAAAAGACCCUUCCGGACUCUUCUACAUCCUUCCUUUUCAAAAGGGCUUCUUGGUGAAUUGGAAUGUUCAAAGACAAGUUUGGGAUUACCUUUUUGGAAAAGAAAUGUAUCGGGUAACAAAGUAGAGUUGAUUUUUUAGAUACUAAUAUUAUUAUCACUGAACCAUACUUCAAGAAUCAAUAAAUGAAAUUCUAUUUGAAGAAUACCAGUUCCAAGCAGUAUUAAAAGAAAAUGCUGGGGCUCUCAGUACACAUAGAUAUUUCCGAGGUAAUCCUUAUGAAUUGUGCUGUGUCAUUGUUGAUAGUGGAUAUUCCUUUAUACAUAUAGUUCCUUAUUGUAGAAGCAAAAGGAAAAAAGAAGCAAUUAUUCGGCAGCUACAUGGCAUGGAUGAAACACGUGUGAUUAAUCAAAUGAAAGAAGAUGUAUACUAUGUGUCUCAGGAUUUUUGAUAGAGACAUGGAUACUGCAAAGUUGAAAAGAGAAGAAAAUACAGUAAUGAUAGACUAUGUCUUGCCUGACUUCAGUACAAUUAAAAAGGGCUUCUCUAAGCCAAGGGAAGAGAUGGUGUUGAGUGGAAAAUAUAAAUUUGGGGAACAAAUUCUUCGUCUGGGCAAUGAGAGAUUUGCUGUUCCAGAAAUACUCUUUAAUCCUGUUAUAGGCUUUCAAGAAAUGGGAAUUCCAGAAGGUAUUGUCUAUUCAAUUCAGAAUCUACCUGAAGAAAUGCAGCUGAAUUUUUUUUUAAGAACAUUGUCUUGACAGGAGGAAACUCCCUUUUCCGAGGAUUUAGGGAUCGGGUUUACUCAAAAGUUUGAUAUCUUACUCCAACAGAUUAUGAUGUUUCUGUUAUGCUGCCUGAAAACCCUAUUACUUAUGUCUGGGAAGGUGGAAAAUUGAUAUCAGAGAAUGAUGAUUUUGAAGAUAUGGUGGUAAUGAGAAGAUUAUGAAGAAAAUGGACAUAGCAUCUGUGAAAUUUGA
This is an RNA transcript of Cebus imitator (Panamanian white-faced capuchin), 1195 nucleotides long. It is a transcript of the gene named actin-related protein 6-like, with no coding region annotated. Lineage: Eukaryota; Metazoa; Chordata; Mammalia; Primates; Cebidae. The record is from RefSeq and is a predicted model, not a curated record. The transcript has 2 exons.